CAAUUAUUUGAAAAUUUGGA
RNAcentral lists this small nuclear RNA (20 nucleotides) under Arabidopsis thaliana (thale cress). RNAcentral describes it as "snRNA_05897". Lineage: Eukaryota; Viridiplantae; Streptophyta; Magnoliopsida; Brassicales; Brassicaceae. The record is from RNAcentral.